CUGAGUGAGGGAGCAAUCCCGACCUCCAACCCUUUGUGAACGCAUCAUGUUGCUUCGGGGGCGACCCUGCCGUUCGCGGCAUUCCCCCCGGAGGUAAUCAAAACGCUGCAUUCUUACGUCGGAGUAAAAAGUUAAUUUAAUAAAACUUUCAACAACGG
Molecule: unclassified non-coding RNA, 158 nt
Filed under: uncultured Mycosphaerellaceae
Lineage: Eukaryota; Fungi; Ascomycota; Dothideomycetes; Mycosphaerellales; Mycosphaerellaceae
Source: RNAcentral